RNAcentral lists this ribosomal RNA (48 nucleotides) under Mucilaginibacter lappiensis. RNAcentral's name for it is "16S rRNA. Bacterial SSU". Lineage: Bacteria; Pseudomonadati; Bacteroidota; Sphingobacteriia; Sphingobacteriales; Sphingobacteriaceae. The record is from RNAcentral.
UUACAAUGGAGAGUUUGAUCCUGGCUCAGGAUGAACGCUAGCGGCAGG